UGGAAGUAAAAAUCGUAACAAGGUCUCCGUAGGUGAACCUGCGGAGGGAUCAUUACAAGAACGCCCGGGCUUCGGCCUGGUUAUUCAUAACCCUUUGUUGUCCGACUCUGUUGCCUCCGGGGCGACCCUGCCUUCGGGCGGGGGCUCCGGGUGGACACUUCAAACUCUUGCGUAACUUUGCAGUCUGAGUAAACUUAAUUAAUAAAUUAAAACUUUUAACAACGGAUCUCUUGGUUCUGGCAUCGAUGAAGAACGCAGCGAAAUGCGAUAAGUAAUGUGAAUUGCAGAAUUCAGUGAAUCAUCGAAUCUUUGAACGCACAUUGCGCCCCCUGGUAUUCCGGGGGGCAUGCCUGUUCGAGCGUCAUUUCACCACUCAAGCCUCGCUUGGUAUUGGGCAACGCGGUCCGCCGCGUGCCUCAAAUCGUCCGGCUGGGUCUUCUGUCCCCUAAGCGUUGUGGAAACUAUUCGCUAAAGGGUGUUCGGGAGGCUACGCCGUAAAACAACCCCAUUCUAAGGUGACCUCGAUCAGAGGANC
This 535-nucleotide ribosomal RNA is filed under the name Cladosporium sp. Its description in RNAcentral is "partial 18S ribosomal RNA". The stretch from base 211 to 364 matches the Rfam family "5.8S ribosomal RNA". Lineage: Eukaryota; Fungi; Ascomycota; Dothideomycetes; Cladosporiales; Cladosporiaceae. The record is from RNAcentral.